This 497-nucleotide ribosomal RNA is filed under the name uncultured bacterium. RNAcentral describes it as "partial 16S ribosomal RNA". It matches the Rfam family "Bacterial small subunit ribosomal RNA", at positions 28 to 507 of the family's 1533-position model. The record is from RNAcentral.
GAUGAACGCUGGCGGCGUGCCUAAUACAUGCAAGUCGAGCGAACAGAUGAGGAGCUUGCUCCUCUGACGUUAGCGGCGGACGGGUGAGUAACACGUGGAUAACCUACCUAUAAGACUGGGAUAACUUCGGGAAACCGGAGCUAAUACCGGAUAAUAUAUUGAACCGCAUGGUUCAAUAGUGAAAGACGGUUUUGCUGUCACUUAUAGAUGGAUCCGCGCCGCAUUAGCUAGUUGGUAAGGUAACGGCUUACCAAGGCAACGGUGCGUAGCCGACCUGAGAGGGUGAUCGGCCACACUGGAACUGAGACACGGUCCAGACUCCUACGGGAGGCAGCAGUAGGGAAUCUUCCGCAAUGGGCGAAAGCCUGACGGAGCAACGCCGCGUGAGUGAUGAAGGUCUUCGGAUCGUAAAACUCUGUUAUUAGGGAAGAACAAAUGUGUAAGUAACUAUGCACGUCUUGAGGGUACCUAAUCAGAAAGCCACGGCUAACUACGUG